Molecule: long non-coding RNA, 1157 nt
Filed under: Marmota monax (woodchuck)
Lineage: Eukaryota; Metazoa; Chordata; Mammalia; Rodentia; Sciuridae
Source: RNAcentral
CCAAAAAAUAAAUAAAUUACAUAUAAUUAAAAGAUUCAUAAUCAGUUUCUAAGCUCAUUUAAUUCAGACUCAUAUAGAGCAGAAGUCUUCCCUUAGCCCCAGUAAGAGCUAUGAAUAUCUUUGCCAACUAUUUACAAGGCUUUUAGAAAAAAGGUGACUCUAUCCUGCAUGACAUAAAGCAGCCACUGGGUGGCAGCCUUCUGGCCAGACAGCUCUCAAAGCUCCUGAAAUUCCCCAGUGUGCCCUGAGAGCACUUGGAAGGCACCUAAUGGAGCUGUCACUCGUGGCUGUCCCUGACAAGUUCUGGAGCCUAAGACACUAUGGUGUUUCUCUGCCCAUCAAUCUCUCCUUUUGACAGACACUAAACUCAUUCCCUUCCUACACUUACUUUGGGGGAACUGUCUCCACCCCAUUCAUAUUCUUCUGGCAAGGCUGUUAAUCACAGGACACCCCUCCCCUGACCACACAGUGGACCUAAGAUCUAAACUAAUUAAUUGAAUCUCUUUAUGGAGAAUUCAAAUUUCUAUCUGAGUUACAAAUACAGAGGAGAGUUGGAGCUGGGUCAUCCCACUGCAGUUCCACAUAGAAAAGCUCGCCAGGUGCCCUGCUGAGACGGGGGCAGUCCUGUCCGUGGACCCAGUUGUUCCUUUAAAUCUGCAGCUACCCAUUGCCCAUAGCUCAAAAAAUGAACAUCUUUUGAACUAAAUUAGUCAAUCAGUUGUUUUUAACCAAUGAGUCUUGACCUUGCUCCUCUGUGCUUUCCGGAGUAAAGGCCAUGGAUGAGUAAAGAACACAGAAGGAAAAGAGAAAAACUGCAUUGUUUCCCCUACCUAAAAUUACAGCCCCAGCCUACCUCAUGCCUUAAUGAAUCUCUAGCUACCAUAAGGCUUUUAUUUGUGGAAAUCUUACACAUUUGACUGAAAGUCGAAGCUUAUUACAGAACAGCAAAUCUGUUAUUUCUACAAAGCCCCUGUUAGCUGUCUCUGCACCUGUUCUCUCUUCUGCUAAGCUACCUAUGCUCCCUUCCAAAGAGGGUGGGGGUGUGACCAGGACCCAGAUUCCAAACCAGGAUGCAAGUGGUACUUAAAGAGACAGACCCAAGCCAGGUGUGGUGGAGCACGCCUGCAGUCCCAGCAUCUUGAGAGGCCGAGGCAGGA